GUACUGAUGAAGAGUCCCAAACUAGGAUGAAACAGCUGUCCAGUAC
Molecule: non-coding RNA, 46 nt
Organism: Trichobilharzia regenti
Lineage: Eukaryota; Metazoa; Platyhelminthes; Trematoda; Strigeidida; Schistosomatidae
Source: Rfam